Molecule: ribosomal RNA, 460 nt
Filed under: uncultured Actinomycetes bacterium
Lineage: Bacteria; Bacillati; Actinomycetota; Actinomycetes
Description: bacterial SSU rRNA
Rfam family: Bacterial small subunit ribosomal RNA
Source: RNAcentral
CACAGAGAUGUGGUGUCCUUCGGGCCGUUACACAGUUGGUGCAUGGCUGUCGUCAGCUCGUGUCGUGAGAUGUUGGGUUAAGUCCCGCAACGAGCGCAACCCUUAUUCUAUGUUGCCAGCGGGUAAUGCCGGGGACUCGUGGAAGACUGCCGGGGUCAACUCGGAGGAAGGUGGGGACGACGUCAAGUCAUCAUGCCCCUUACGUCCAGGGCUGCAAACACGCUACAAUGGCCGGUACAAAGGGCUGCGAACCCGCGAGGGUAAGCCAAUCCCACAAAGCCGGUCUCAGUUCGGAUUGGAGGCUGCAACUCGCCUCCAUGAAGCUGGAGUUGCUAGUAAUCCCGGAUCAGCACGCCGGGGUGAAUACGUUCCCGGGCCUUGUACACACCGCCCGUCACACCACGAAAGUCGGCAACACCCGAAGCCGGUGCCUAACCGCAAGGAAGGAGCCGUCGAAGGU